Molecule: ribosomal RNA, 468 nt
Filed under: uncultured bacterium
Lineage: Bacteria
Description: partial 16S ribosomal RNA
Rfam family: Bacterial small subunit ribosomal RNA
Source: RNAcentral
GACGAACGCUGGCGGCGUGCUUAACACAUGCAAGUCGAACGGAAAGGCCCUGCUUUUGUGGGGUGCUCGAGUGGCGAACGGGUGAGUAACACGUGAGUAACCUGCCCUUUACUUUGGGAUAACUUCAGGAAACUGGGGCUAAUACCGGAUAGGAGCUCCUGCUGCAUGGUGGGGGUUGGAAAGUUUCGGCGGUUGGGGAUGGACUCGCGGCUUAUCAGCUUGUUGGUGGGGUAGUGGCUUACCAAGGCUUUGACGGGUAGCCGGCCUGAGAGGGUGACCGGCCACAUUGGGACUGAGAUACGGCCCAGACUCAUACGGGAGGCAGCAGUGGGGAAUAUUGCACAAUGGGCGGAAGCCUGAUGCAGCAACGCCGCGUGCGGGAUGACGGCCUUCGGGUUGUAAACCGCUUUCGCCUGUGACGAAGCGUGAGUGACGGUAAUGGGUAAAGAAGCACCGGCUAACUACGUG